UACGAAGGGGGCUAGCGUUGUUCGGAAUUACUGGGCGUAAAGGGCGCGUAGGCGGUGUGUCAAGUCAGAUGUGAAAUCCCCGGGCUUAACCUGGGAACUGCGUUUGAAACUGGAAGGCUUGAGUGUGGCAGAGGGGGGUGGAAUUCCACGUGUAGCAGUGAAAUGCGUAGAGAUGUGGAGGAACACCGAUGGCGAAGGCAGCCCCCUGGGCUAACACUGACGCUCAUGCACGAAAGCGUGGGGAGCAAACAGG
Molecule: ribosomal RNA, 253 nt
Filed under: uncultured bacterium
Lineage: Bacteria
Description: partial 16S ribosomal RNA
Rfam family: Bacterial small subunit ribosomal RNA
Source: RNAcentral